Molecule: ribosomal RNA, 253 nt
Filed under: uncultured bacterium
Lineage: Bacteria
Description: partial 16S ribosomal RNA
Rfam family: Bacterial small subunit ribosomal RNA
Source: RNAcentral
UACGUAGGGUGCAAGCGUUGUCCGGAAUUAUUGGGCGUAAAGAGCUCGUAGGCGGUUUGUCGCGUCUGCUGUGAAAACCCGAGGCUCAACCUCGGGCCUGCAGUGGGUACGGGCAGACUAGAGUGCGGUAGGGGAGAUUGGAAUUCCUGGUGUAGCGGUGAAAUGCGCAGAUAUCAGGAGGAACACCGGUGGCGAAGGCGGGUCUCUGGGCCGAUACUGACGCUGAGGAGCGAAAGCAUGGGUAGCGAACAGG